This 526-nucleotide ribosomal RNA is filed under the name uncultured eukaryote. RNAcentral's name for it is "SSU rRNA". It matches the Rfam family "Eukaryotic small subunit ribosomal RNA", at positions 93 to 631 of the family's 1831-position model. The record is from RNAcentral.
AUGGCKCAUUAAAACAGUUAUAGUUUACUUGAUAAUCGAAUUUUAUAUGGAUAACCGUAGUAAUUCUAGAGCUAAUACAUGCUGUUAAACCUGACUUUUCKGAAAGGUUGUAUUUAUUAGAUAUUAAACCAGCAGCUUCGGCUUCUGUGAUGAUUCAUAAUAACUGAUCGGAGCGAAGCAAGUCUUCGCUAAAUCAUUCAAGUUUCUGCCCUAUCACUUUGAUGGUAGUGUAUUGGACUACCAUGAGGAUUACGGGUACGAGGAAUUAGGGUUUGAUAUCGGAGAGGGAGCCUGAGAAACGGCUACCACUUCUAAGGAAGGCAGCAGGCGCGUAAAUUACCCAAUCCCAAUUCGGGGAGGUAGUGACAAGAAAUAAUAACUCGGGUAGUGAAUACUAUUACGAGAUUAAAAUGAGAACAAUUUAACGACCUUAUCGAGGAACAAUGAGAGGACAAGUCUGGUGCCAGCACCCGCGGUAAUUCCAGCUCUUAUAGUGUAUAUUAAAGUUGUUGCAGUUAAAAAGCUC